RNAcentral lists this long non-coding RNA (33702 nucleotides) under Pelobates cultripes (western spadefoot toad). Lineage: Eukaryota; Metazoa; Chordata; Amphibia; Anura; Pelobatidae. The record is from RNAcentral.
CUGCUCACCCGGUCUCAGUGCUCCUUAGAAGGGUUGUGGAAGCACAUCUGUGCAGAGAAAGAACUUUAACAGGACACCGGUGAGUUCUAUUAAUCUCUCCCGGUGAACAUUCCAAAUCAGAACUCACCAGCGAGUGUCUGUAAAGGGGGAUGACGCAGCAAGGACCUGCCUUAGGGGUGUGCAAACUGUGCGGCCGCACAGGGUGCCAUGGAGCAGGGUCUCACACAUGGCUGGGUUGCAGGGGGAGGGUGGAGGGAGCUAGAGCUAUUUUAUUAUUCUCCACCCUGGUCUAUGUGAAAAACACAAACGGGCAGGGAUUACCUGUGUGUGUGUGACUGUCUGCCUGUGUGUGAGAUUGUUUGUGUGUGACUGUAACUUUGUCUGUGUGUGUGAUUGCAACUGUGUGUGCGUGUGUGUGUGUGACUCUCUGCCUGUAACUGUGUAUGUGUGUGUGAGAGUGUCUGCCGGUAACUGAGCGUGUGUGAUUACUUGUAACUGUGUGUGGUUGUGACUCUUUGCCUGUAACUAAGCAUGUGCGACUGUCUACCUGUACCCUUUGUGUGACUGUCUGCCUGUGUGUGAGACUGUUUGUCCGUGUGUGACUGUAACUUUGCCUGUGUGUGUGUUUGCAAGUGUGUGUGUGACUGUCUGUUUGUAACUGUGUGUGUGGUUUUGACUGUUUGCCUGUAACUGAGCAUGUGUGACUGUCUACCUGUAACUGAGCAUGUGUGACAAAGUUAGUCUGCCACUCUGUAAUGCAUGGGAAGCAGUCUGGCACCUCUGGCCUGCACUUCUGCUAGCUGCAGAUCAUAAGUAGCUGCCUGUGUGUGUGUGGCUGUCUAUGUGUGUGUGUGUGUGUGUGUGACUGUAACUUUGCGUGUGUGUGUGUGUGUGACUGUGUGCUUGUAACUGAGCAGCCUGGCACCUUUGGACUGCACUUCUGCUAGCUGCAACCAUACGUAGCUGUCUUCCUAGCUCUGGCCAAUCAGUGUGUUGCUGUGGAUUAUUACAGGCAAGUUUUGACACUGUAAAUGCCUAAGCUAACGAGGCAGUUACUCAUAGUCUGCACCCGGUGAAGGGGCAAACCAGGUUCCCAGCACACUGGAACACCAUAGAUCAGUAUUCCACCUCUCACUGCAAGGUAACAACUGGGAAGGGAGAAUGAAUAUUUUAAAAUGUUUAUUAAUGUAAUAAAUCACCUAUACAAACACACAUACAUGGAUGAAGGUGUAUGACGGGUCAGGCGCUGUGAAGAUUUUUUUUUUUUGCACAUUGUGCCUAAUGCCCCUGCUCGCAGCGAUACGUUCGUCAGACUGUAAUACCACAUGCAUGCUUUAACUGCUGCACUGCCAAGCAUAGAUUUCAUUUAUUUUCUGUUGUGCUCAGUUCUGCAACUCUAGAAGCUGUGUAAUGCAUUGAUGUGGUAUUUCUCGUCACGGAUGUCACAGAGUAUAGGAGGCCUAGGUGCUUAGUAAAAUCAGACAUCCACUACAAUUGUCCUUCACAGAAAUAUUCACAAAUAGAAGCUCAUGUGCACACAAUACAUUUUAGAUUUGCUCCAUAUGAAUAAUUUUUAGGUUUGCUCCAUAAAACCAUUAUUUUUUUGUCUUGUAUUCUGUGUUUCCACUGUUUCCCUUUUUGUUCAUUAUGGUUCCUUUGAAAUGUCCUGCAACUGUUUUGUUUUUCCUGUAAAUCAUUUUUUUUUUUUUGGGGGUGGGGGGGGUCAUUACUGGUAAAAUUACAGGCAUACAACUUGCUUACAUUCAACAGUCAAAUAGGCAUGCCAUACACAAUAAACAGUGUUCAAUCAAGUGCAAUGGCUUUCAUCUUGAGUCUCCAUCCCACACCUAAUUUAUUUCAGUGGUGUAGUAAACGGUUAUAUAAUAACAAUCCAAUGUAACUAUUGCCUCAGACCACUUAACUUAUUGCCAUUUUAUUUUGAAAACCUAUAUUUGUGAUAAAAAGUUUUAAACUGAAACCUAAAUAGAUAUAUAAUUAACCUGCACAAAAACAGAAGGGGGAGGGGUGUAAACCAUUAAGCUACCCAGGGCCGUCUUUAAUUUAGAUUGGACCCUGGGCGAGCAUUUACUUGGGCCCCCUGACUACGUCUAGAUACACACAAAUACACUACCUGACACACAUGCAGAUACACACUGACCACAUAUAGAAACACACAAGAACAUACAGAUACACACAGACUACAUAUAGAUACACUGACACACACACAUACAAACACUGACAUACAUGCAGAUACAAAGGUACACACACUGACUACUUAUAGAUACACCGACACACACACUGACAGACAGACACACAGAUACACACAUGCAGAUAUACAGAUACAAACACUGACACAUACAGAUACACACACAAAUACAAAUGGACAACAUACAGAUACAGAGACACAUUCUGACAGACGUACUGGCACAGACUCACACACAGAAAACCAUACUGAAACACACAUACACAAAGACAUACUGAACCACACAGACACUGAUGGACUCUCACACACACAGACAUACAGAUACACUGACAGACGUACUGGCACAUAUACACACAGACAGACGGACAUACUGAAACACACAUACACACAGACAUUGACAGACAUAUUGACAAACACAGACAUACAGAACCACACUGACAGACUCACACAUAGACAUACUGACAGACAUACACACAUUCUGGCACACACACACAGACAGACUGAAACACACAGACACAGACACUGACAGAUAUACACACAUACAGAUAUUUUGAAACUCACAGACAGCCAUACUGAAACACACAGACACUGACAGACUCACACAGACAUACUGGCACACAGACAGACAUUCUGGCACACAGACAGACAUUCUGGCACACAGACAGACAUUCUGGCACACAGACAGACAGACAUUCUGGCACACAGACAGACAGACAUUCUGGCACACAGACAGACAUGCUGAAACACACAUACCCACAGACACUGACAGACAAACACACAUCCAGACAUUUUGACAUACACAGACAGCCAUACUGAAACACACAUACACACUGAACCACAGACACUGACAGACUCACACACAGACAUACUGACACACUGACAGACAUACACACAUACAGACAUACUGAACCACACAGACACUGACAGACACACACACAGACAUACAGAUACACUGACAGACUUUGAUAACCACCCUCCAGUUUCUUACCUUGUCCUGGAGGGUGGCUUCCCUGGGGUCCAGUGGGCUGGCUGGGGUGGCUGGGAGUUAAGCUCUCCCGGCCUGGCCCCCUCCGGAACAGCUGGUCCGCCUUCCUCCCGCGCGGCUCCAGUUUCUGUGGGAGGAAGUGACGCACGGCUGUCACUUCCUCCCACUGCUGCCGAAAAGCAAGGACCCGGUCGCGCUGUUAAAGCGCCACAGCGCCCGACCGGGCCCCUGCUGACACAGUCCCACCGGGUGGCCCUAAGUGCAUGGGCCACCCGAUGGGCCCCCAUAGUUUGCGGGCAGAGGGCAAACAGGGCAGUUACCUCGGGCCCCCCAGCAGGGACAGGGCCCGGGGCAGCUGCCCCGUUUGCCCCGCGUUAAAGACGGCCCUGAAGCUACCAGGAUAAAUCGUUGACCUGUAGCCCAAGGAGCAGCAAAGCUAAGGAAAUGGGCCUUGACAGAGCUAGGAGGCAGGCAUAUAAGCUAAGGAGUGGGGGGAGGUUUCAUAUAAUAGCGGACAUUUUAGAUUAGGGGCCAUUUUAAUCAUCCAUACUUGCCUGUGGUUGUAUGCUGCAGGUUUGCGUGGUGUUUGCUUUGUCUUUCACUGUCACUGGGGCAGACUGGCAGGAAUGAUAAGGGCAGAUCUAGGAGCAGCAGGCGUUCCAGGCACAGGACCGAAGGCAGACUGCGCAGCGUUGAUAGGGAUUCCUGGGGUGAGCGGCCAGGACGACAGCGGCCUUCCUCUUCUGCUUCAUUCCAGAAGGGUAGGGGGAGUGCUUCCAGGUCCGACAGCGGGAGCCCCUUGGAUAGGAGAUACACUCAAGAGUCAGUAGGUUGUGAUGGCCGUAAGGUUCAGGAUGACAGGCAAGGCAGGAGAGAUUUGAGGCGGGGAUCUUGCUUGGAGGAUGUGGAUGGCCUACCCAGUUUCUCUUCUCCUUUCUCUUCUUUGUCAUGUUCUCCCACGGACCAGGCAUGGGUCCAGGAAGCAGGUCCCAGAAUGUUGGCAUUUAUUCCUGGGACCCUCCGCUACCCAAUCUUUGUAUUUCUCAAUUGGGGGUUGUUCUUAAGAAGGAGCCUGGGAGGUACUGUCUCUUACAUCAUCUUUCCUACCCAAAAGGGUCAUCAGUGAAUAAUGACAUUGAUGCUGCCUUAUGCUCAGUGUCCUACUGUGGCAUUACUUGCCUCCAACAAGCAGUGCAGACCCUGUGCCUCCAAAAAGUGAUCUUCUUCAUGGACAACAUGUCACUGGUAUCUGCGGUUAAUCUGUUAUCUGCCUCUUCCAUGCCAGUUAUUCGUUUGUUGCAGCGUUUUGUAUUGCUUUGCAUGCAGCUUAAUAUUGUUUUUCGGGCACGUCAUGUGCCUGGUUUCUUGAAUAUCAUUGCCGAUGUGCUUUCUCGUGGGAGAGGUUUCGAGCGGCGGCUCCCGGAGCGCGGAAGAAGGGUCAGGCCUGCCCAGUUGACGUGUGGUAACUCGGGACAUCCUGUUUAUAUGAUUGAUCAAAGAGUCUUUGGCUCCUAGUACUUGGUUGCCAUAUGUCAAGGUGUUGAGGACAUAAGAUGAGUCACAUGUGUGUGGUGGGGGACACCACUUAGCUGAGGUAUGGUUGGAUAUGCUGUUAUGGUACUUGUGUAGAUUGUUCUCUAUCUAUGCUUCGUCUUCGGUGGUAGAUAGGCAUAUGGCGGUGUUAGCCUUUUUGUUCAAGUUAAAUGGUUGGGAGGACUUCACCAAGAAUUUUCUAGUUCAUCAAACAUUGAAAAGUUUUCGUAAGGGUAAGAGAACACCAGACACCCGUUGGCCGGUGUCUUUUGACCUUUUACACAGUUUAAUAGGGGUGCUACCAGAUUUCUGUUUCUCCCACAAUGAGGUUUUAUUGUUCAUGAUUGCUUUUGUUUGGGCAUUCCUUGCAGCUUUUCAGUUAGUUAGUGGGAAGGUGGUAAUCCGUGAGGUUCCAGUCGUAAAUUAGACUGGACCAUUUGGUUUAAAUUUGGGUUGGUAUAUUUAUCUGCUUGUCUAUGGUAACAUGUUGUCUUUCUUUUGUAGGCCGGGUCGCCUGGUUGGUGGGCCACUCAUACAUCCAUUGGGCGCAAGAGAGAGCCGCAGUUGCACAUUAUGGAGAACAGCUGGGCUUUCCACAGUCUUUGUUACAACUGCGUAGGUUUGGUUUUCAAGGGUUUAGUUGGAGGGAAAUUUCUUUUAAGAUUUUCAGGCUGCUAGGUUCCGGACAGUUACCAGAUUUUCUUUUAAUCCACGCUGGGAGGAAUGAUUUAGGUCAAGUGCCUCAGAGGGACUUGGUGCAAUGUAUGAAGCGUGAUCUGGAUAGGUUGAAGGGUCUUGCUCCGGGUGUAGUGAUAAUUUGGUCAGAGAUGGUGCCCCGUUUGCAUUGGCGUCAUGCUCUUGAUCCUGUGGCAGUGACCAAGUGUCGAGGGAAGAUUAACAAGCUGUUGUCCGUUUUCGUUAGAUGUAUGGGGGGAGUAGUUGUACGGCACUGUAAGUUAGACACCAUGCUUACUGGUUAUUUUAGGCAUGAUGGGGUGCACCUUUCCGACAUAGGGAACGAUUUCUUUAAUAUGGGUUUUCAGGAAGGCUUGCAGCGUGCAUUGGUUUUGCGGGCUUGGGGCGCUCAGGUGUCUUGAAAAGUCAAGCUCUGAGCUGGGGCAGGCCUGGAUUAGAAAUUGGGGGUAGGUAGGAUUGCUAGCUGGUAUGUUUGAAGUUCGGUAACAAAAUUCACAUGGUUUAAUUUAGUAGGUUGGAGCCCAUUGGUGGUUUUCAAACUGGAGGUGUAUGGGGUAUCUCGGUAUACCCAUACAAUGUUAAAUCCUUUGGAAUAAGACCUCCUGUUGUGGCUGUGUUUUGUGUUCUGUUAUUCAUAUAUUGUCAUUUCCAGUGGGUAUCGUACUGCUAAAGGUGGGGGUGUAUAUUAUUUAUUUAUAAAAUAUUUUUCCAGGAAAGAUACAGUGAGAUUUCUCUUGUUUUCAAAUUCAAAUAUGUCCUAGGUAUAUGUGUCUAUGUUAAAAUUGUGUAGGUUUAGCAAAGACUUUUGGAUAUAUAUAUAUGUGUGUGUGUGUAUGUGUAUAUAUAUAUAUAUAUAUAUAUAUAUAUAUAUAUAUAUGUACACACAGUGAGGGGGAAAAAGUAUUAGAUCUCCCAUUGAUUUUGAACGUUUGUCCACUGACAAAGAAAUGAUCAGUCUAUAAUUGUAAUGGUAGGUGUAUUUUAACAGUGAGAGACAGAAUAAAAAAAUCCAGAAAACGCGUGUUAAAAAAGUUAUAAAUUGAUUUGCAUGUCAAUGAGUGAAAUAAGUAUUUGAUCCCUUAUCAAUUAGCAAGAUUUCUGGCUCCCAUGUGUCUUUUAUACAGGUAACAAGAUGAGAUUAGGAGCACUCUCUUAAAGGGAGUGCUCCUUAUGUCAGCUUGUUACCUGUGUAAAAGACACCUGUCCACAGAAGCAAUCAAUCAAUCAGAUUCCAAACUCUCCACCAUGGCCAAGUCCAAAGAGCUAUCGAAGGAUGUCAGGGACAAGAUUGUAGACCUACACAAGGCUGGAAUGGACUACAAGACCAUCGCCAAGCAGCUUGGUGAGAAGGUGACAACAGUUGGUGCGAUUAAUCGUAAAUGGAAGAAACACAAAAUAACUGUCAGUCUCCCUCGGUCUGUUGUUCCAUCCAAGAUCUUGCCUCGUUGAGUUUCAAUGAUCAUGAGAAUGGUGAGGAAUCAGCCAAGAGCUACACGGGAGGAUCUUGUUAAUGAUUUCAAGGCAGCUGGGACCAUAGUCCCCAAGAAAACAAUUGGUAACACACUAUACCGUGAAGGACUGAAAUUCUGCAGCACGCGCAAGGUCCCCUGCUCAAGAAAGCACAUGUACCUGUGUGAGGUUUCCCAAUGAACAUCUGAAUGAUUCAGAGAAGAACUGGGUGAAAGUGUUGUGGUCUGAUGAGACUAAAAAUGAGCUCUUUGGCAAUUACACCACAUCAAAGGUUGAGAACCUCCUUCCCUCAGCAAGUGCAUUGAAAAUGGGUCGUGGAUGGUUAUUCCAACAUGACAAUGACCCAAAACACACAGCCAAGGCAACAAAGGAGUGGAUCAAAAAGGAGGGGCCUAGCCAGUCUCCAGACCUUAAUCCAUAGAAAAAUCUGUGGAGGGAGCUGAAGAUCGAGUUGCCAAACGCCCGCCUCGAAACCAUAAUGACUUGUAGAUGUGUGCAAACGUCUGACCUCUGUGAUUGCCAACAAGGGUUUUGCCACCAAGUACUAAGUUGAAGGGGUCAAAUAUUUAUUUUUCUCAUUUACAUGUAAAUCAAUUUAUAACUUUUUUGAAAUGCAUAUUUUGGGAUUUUUUGGGUUAUUCUGUCUGACUGUUAAAAUACACCUACCAUUACACCUACAACUUAUAUAUCUGCUAUCUCCUCAAUUGACACCCUAAUACGCCAACACUGCACAGUGUCCUACUCAGAUUUACAAAAAGAAUACAACCUACCAAACUCUUUUUUGUUUCCAUAUCUACAAAUUAAGAGCAUUAUCCCAACUCAUCUAUACACCAGGUCUGAAAUGCCCCCCCCCCCCUAUUUACUAAAGCAAACAUAAUUCAUAAAGGUGCCAUAAAACUAAAUUAUCAGCCUGCUACAAAACCAUCAUGUAAGGGAUCCCACGUAAACCACCUACUUAUAUGACCCAAUGAGCCACAGAAACUACUGUUGCCCUGACCAAAACAGAAUGGAUUUCCUCUAACGUCUUAAUUGAGGCGCACAGGAAACUUAUAUAUAGAUGGUAUCUGACACCUAGCAGACUCCAUAAAAUAUUCUCAAAUGUGCCUUGUUCAUGCUGGAGGUGUGGUGAGUAUGAGGGACAUAUGACACACGUAUGGUGACGCUGUAAAGCACUUAAGCUGCUAUGGGACGCAGUUAACAAACUCUUACAACCCGUUGUUGCUAGAAACCUACCUACCAAAUUCAGACAACUAGUAAUGCUCACUAUAUUAGCAGCUAGGAAUCUAAUAGCCCUCCACUUGAAGCAACAAAUAUGCCCAUACAAAUUUCAGCUAAUAGACCAGCUUAACCAAUAUUAUAUGUAUGAGAGGAUGUCCCUCACAUCCGAAAAACAUACCGAAACCUUCAAUACCUUGUGGCAACCAUGGCUAGAAAACUUUAAUAGUGAACAAUGUGACUAGACUCGAUAUACUGUAUAAAUAUAUAUGAAUACUGUAAAUGUUGUAUACCAUAUGUUAAAUAUGCUUAUUUGCAAUACCUCUCCAACCCCUCCCUUUUUUCCUUUCUGUACCCUCAACCCUUUUUAUCAAAAAAUAAAUAAAAACCUUUAACCCCUUACAGACACAUGAUAUGUGUGACAUGUCAUGAUUCCCUUUUAUUCUAGAAGUUUGGUCCUUAAGGGGUUAAAUUGUAAAAAAAUGUAUAGUGUUGUUUAUUGUAUUAAACAAAAUCAAAGCAAAUGAAGUACAUACAGAAAAGUCCAGGUGGUUCACAGUCCAAAACGCGUUUCGUCGGUUAGACCCAACUUUCUCAAUUGGUAUCUGCACUGCUGCCAUUUUAAAUCUUAAAUACCCCUAAAUACCCCCGCAGAUACCAGGUCGGCGGUCACGAUCCACUGCCCAAUCCGGCAGUCCCGCACCAUGUGAUUGCAGAAUCCUUGCGAUGACAUGGCCAGAAUAGCUGACUUAUGCAGUGCCUGCAGGGAGACUGCCUGAACUCCCAGGCUGUCCACCUCAUGCCUGCAAAAAAAAUAAUGAAUUAAUAAUAGUUGUUAAAAAGUUUAAUAACGUAAAUAAAAGUACUUAGAUCAUAUAUCUAAGUACUUUUAUGAGCAGAUACAUAAACUAUUAUUCUUAGUGUAUUUUAAUAUUAAAAUACACUUAGAAUGAUGUUUAUAUAUAUAUAUAACAAUAAUCAAUAAAUAUCAAUAAUAAUCAAUAAUAUAUAUUUUUUUAAAGGAUAUACCGGUUUAAAUUUGUUCUAACUAUUUUGAUAUUAUACCUAUAUUAAAUUCAAUAUACAUUUAAAAUGAUAUUCUAGAUACAUGUAUGUAUAUAUAUAUAUGUAAAUAUAUAUAUAUAUUUAUAGUUAUAUAUAAAAAAAAUAAAAAUCUUAUAUAUACAUAUAUAUUUUAAUUCUACAAAUAUGUUUAUAUAUUUUCACAUAAUUAAGUAAUUGUAUUAAUUACAAUCUGAGGGACCUGCCCAACAACCCAGGCAGAAAGUCCAGAGAAUUUCCCUCGCAAGCCCUAUAUUUAACCCUGCAACUUUCCAUGACACCAUAAAACCUGUACAUGGCAGGUACUGAACACAAAUAUUAGUGUUUAAAAACAGUAAGACACAUCACAACUAGAUAACGUAAUUUUUUUUGCAUUUUUCACACACAAACUACUUUCACUGACGAUAUUGUUGUAAUAUGUUUUACUAUUUUGAAACACUAAUAUUUGUGUUCAGGGAAGUCUCCCUAGUAUAACAGUGCCCCCCAUGCACAGGUGUUAUAGUGUUUUCAAAAGUUACUGAGUCAAAUAUAAGGCUUGAAUUUCCUUUUUUUCACAUUGAAAUUUGGCAGAUUUGUUAUGUUGCCUUUGAGAGCGUAUGGUAGCCCAGGAAUGAGAAUUACCCCCAUGAUGGCAUACCAUUUGCAAAAGUAGACAAAAGGUAUUGCAAAUGAGGUAUGUCCAUUCUUUUUUUUUUUUUUUAGUAGCCACUUAGUCACAAACACCUGCCAAAAUUAGCGUUCAAUUUCGCUUUUUGCAAUUUUCACACACAAACAAAUAUGAAUGCUAACUUUGGCCAGUGUUUGUGACGUAGUGACUACUAAAAAAGACUGGAUAUGUCCCAUAUUGAAUACCCUGGGUUGUCUACUUUAAAAAAAAUAUGUACAUAUGAGGUGUGAUUCAGAGAUUUAUGACAGAUAAUAGUGUUACAAUGUCACUAUUGAUAAAUUUUAAAAAUAUAUAUUUUGAAACAGCAAUUUCCUACUUGUACUUAUAGCCCUAUAACUUGCAAAAAAAGCUCAUAAACACUGGCUGUUUUUAAACUCAGGACAACAUUUUGAAGCUAUUUAGCAGUUUUUGUCAUUAGCUUUCAUAGGUAAGUAAAAGAUUUUUCAAGUAAAUGUAAAAAAAAAAUGUCUGUUUUUCAAUUUUUCACCAUAUUUUAUUAUUGUUAAAAAAGGUAAAUUAUAUGACAUGAUACAAAUAAUGGUAUGUAAAGAAAGCCCCUUUUGUCCUGAAAAAAAACAAUAUAUAAUUUGUAUGGGAACAGUAACUGAGAGAGAGGAAAAUUACAGCCAAACACAAACACCACAAAAGUGUUAAAACAGCUCUGGUCCUUAACAUACAACAUGUCCAAAACAGUCUGGUCCUGAAGGGGUUAAAACAUUCCAGGUUUUGUUUUGCUCACAACUUGCACAAUUGGCUCAGUCCUUAAGGGGUUAACUGUGUUUGAUUCUUUUAGUCACUAACAUGUUUGUUUUUCUAUAUAAUUUAGGUCAAUAGGCGGUUUCUUUCCAAGGUCCAUUAACUUAUCUUGGCACAUAGUAGUGCUCCAUUCAUAAAUAUUCCCAAUGUAGCAUUUACGGUAAUGGUUUUAAUGAUACCCUCCGCCUUGGGAAUGGAUACGUUUUAGUAAUAGAAAAUAGUCUAUUUUACAAAUUCAUUAUGAUCUGCACACUUUUUACAUCAUUACUCUAAUACAUUUCCUUUAUUUACACAUUCACCUCCUCGAUGAACAUCACUUAUCCCUUUUCUCCCCACGUUCUAUUGUACAUUUAAACUGAGUUUACAAUAUAUAUUUAUAUUGUACUUUUAGUGCAAACAUAUUACUUUAUGCGAAAAAACAUAUAUUUUUAAAGUAUUGAUUUUAUUUAGCCUGAAUCAUGCUUACUGCUGUUCUCCAUCUCUACCCAUGAUUAAGAAAUGUAUUUUUUGUUCUCGUGCUAAACUCUGUCCAUAUAAAGUUCUUCUGGUGCUGCUUUGUUCUUUCUUGCAUCUUAUCUACUUAUUGUUGUUUCUUCUAUUGUAAUCUUUAGACCUGUGUAUGGCAAAGAAAUUCUGUUUGUCUGAAUUAACUCCUCUCGAAAAAAUGUUUAGUUUGGACAGACACAAUUUCAUCUAUGGCAUUUCAGUUUGGAUGAAUUUAGUCUGCGUAAUCAUUUCGGGAAAACUAUUUGUACGACCCAAAAUGGCGCUAAAAUGUGGUUCAAAGAUCACAUGAGAAAACAGGACCAAUAGAGCCAAAAAAAGAGGAAAAUAUAUCUAUAUUUAUUUAAAAAUAUGUAAUAUAUAUAUAGAUUUUAAUUUUAAUUUUUUUUAUUGCUCCUGCUAUUAUCCAGUAUUGGUCACUACACACUUGAUCUGUGAAUAAAAUGAACAUUUCGUGGCUGCCCCCUAGACAUCAAAUUAUGAUUUAUUUUUUAUGCGCAUUGAUGGAAGUCUGAAUUAUGAAGCAAACUAAACAUCACAUCUAUUGCCCUUUUCAUUUAUUUUGUGAUUUGGCCAGAUGAUGGUUCUAAGUCAGGAAAUCAGCGGAAUUGCUAAUCGACCAAUAUUCAGACAAAUUAUGAUUCAUUUGAAACUGAACACAAGUCUGAUAGUCUUCAGUUACUCAGGCUAGCUUUACUGGGGCUAUUUGUCUUCACUCCCCUUCCUCCUACUGUAUAAGGUAUUUUGCUAGUCUUCCUUGCAUCUUGGUGGUCCUUUACUGGUCCUGUCUUUUCUGCUGCAUUCUGUUUUCUUACUUUCUCCUUCCAGUUCAUCACUUCUUUCUAUAGUAGUUAAUGUAUAGGAAAUGUGGUUGAGACGGUUUACUGAAGGUUACCUAUGACAUUUAUCAGUUUCGAGACUUAAGACUCCACUGUAGAUCUGUAGACUAUUUUGCCAAUUAGAAAACAUCUUGCCACCUAAUAGGAAUAGUGUUACCUGGCCCCUUUCCACAUGCACAUUAACCUGAAAACCAAAAUAUUUUUAAACAGUUUGAUACAAAUAGAUGGUCCACUCAUUUGACAUAUCGCUAUUAUGUAAGUUUAUACAUUAACAAUAUCUAAUUUGCCCAGUUUUGAUGGAAUUUAUUGGCUGAAUAUGUAAGCUAUCUUGCGUAGCUGAUGAAUGCCAUCUAAAUAGUGACAUAACUGAUAAUGUGGAAGUGAUGAAGCACUAUACCAAUAGAGAACAUUUGCUGUGGAUCAUAAUCCUCUAUAUUACAUGGGAAUUAUCCUGAUGCAAUUUAGUUUUUAUCAUACGAUAUCCUCCUUUUAAUCUAUGUUUAGAGUAAUCCAGUUCAUACUCAUUAGACUUUGAAGAUUGGAUAGGCAGAUUGGUUAGACAGUCCUUAAUCAUAUGUUCUCUUAAAUAUGCAUUUUGGCCAGCUGUUUUCAAGAAGGAUCUUAUGGAACUAGAAGUAGUGCAGAGGUCAAAAUGAAAAAGAGGAAUGGAAUAUUUUAUUGAUGAAAGGACGACUGGAAGAUAUGAACUUAUUUUCUUUUAAAAAUGGCAAAUUAGAGGAUUUGUGUUUUACGUUUUGAUUUGGUCUACAAUUUUUGAUUUUCAAUUUGCAGAAAUUAAUUUCAAUGUUGAUUCGGGUUUGUUAUUUUCGUUAGUUAAAUAAAUUUUGGGCACCUAUUAAUCCCAAUAGAAAAUUAAUAAUCCAUAAAGCGGGCAGUCUUUUACUAGUUUACCGACAGAUAUUCAUUUUCGGAUUAAAUUAGCAUAACUGAAUUUUCAUUAUGUUUUCAGUGUGCCCAAAAACAAAUACAUAUGUUUAUUCAUUAUUAGUCCCAUACAAAAGAGAAGAGGUGACCCAUUUAUACCUGAAAAUAGAUUUUACCCACAGCAGAAUAAAGAGUAUUCAGAGUAUUCACAGUUAAAACAAUAAAAAUAUUUAAUUCUCUGCUUAAAUAUGUUGUUUUACCAGAUUCUGAACAGAUGUUUAAGCAUUCUGGAUGCAUUUUUGGAAUAUUCAAGGAUAUACUAAUUUAUAUACCUCUAGAAUGUAAGCUCACUUGAGCAGUGUUACCAAUUGUAAUUUAAAAAAAAAUGGUUUCUUACUAAUUUUCUAAUCUCCACAUUCAACAUUUUAAUAUGUUGUGAUUUUUUUUUUAUUUUUAUAAAUGCCAAUAAUGAAUAUAUUAAUAGAGAGGUAACAGUUAAUUGAUUCACAGAAAAAUCUAAUUGCCAAUUUUGAGUGAAGAAGGAUUUUUUCCCAAAUUGUUUAUAAAUUUUAAAUUGCUUCACUCCCCCCCCCCUUCUUUUGAAUCACCAACUGUAUUAUAGCUAUGUGAAAGAAUGAACUUGAUUUUAGUCCUUAAGAAAAUUUCCUUAUGAAGUCCAGCAUGUUCCUUUCUUCAUUUAUAUAUAGAAUGUGCAAUGAAAGAUAAACUGAGAAAACACAAUUAUAAAAAAGGUAGAAAACAUACUAAAUGAAAAAAGACUACUAUUACUAAUAACUAUAUAAUCAUCAUCAUAGGUAAAACAGUUCCAAUGGAACUAUGGGAAAGAAAUAAAAAAAACUAAGGUUUUAAAUGCAAAAUAGACCAGUGGAAAAAUGUCAUUGUUCUCUACUUAAUGUAAGAUUAUGUUAACCUUUCUGCAUACAGGUCUACUCCAUUCACAAUUAUAUGACUUCCGAAGACAGUUGGUUUAUUUAAUGGUGUCACAUCAACAUAGGUCCAAUCAAAGCUUUUCAUUUUAUUAUGUUUAAAUUGCAUACUAAAAUACAUUGAUGUACCCCUUUUUGAUAUUAUGGACUAAUUUAUUUAAGUGACAGGCACAUUUUUUAAACAAAUUUUAUUCAAGGUCAAAAGCAAUACAGAAAAAAACAAUGUUAUCAAAUGGCAUCAUAUAACAAAGAUUGGAUCCAUAUUUAAAAAGCAUGUCUUAACAAUGUUAUCAAAUGGCAUCAUAUAACAAAGAUUGGAUCCAUAUUUAAAAAGCAUGUCUUAACAUUAGAAUAUUCAACACCAUAUAACAAUUUACAGAGAAAUGCCCCCCAAAUAUUUCAAUAAAUUAUAUAAAAUUAGAGUUUAACUGAGUAACUUAAACUACGGAGGACUUAAAAUAGACAUUGAAAAGAGGAGGAUUGAAUUUUGGAAAGGAAAUAAGUGAGUAGAGAUGAAGAGGAACUGGGGACAUCCUUGAUCCAGUGAGGGUGGUCAGGAAUUCCACAUGUGCAUAAUGCAUAAUACAUUUUCAUGCGUGUGAUGGCCAAACAAAUCGCCAUUAUAUACAUUAUUAGUCCUGAAUGUAACAUUGGAUAAUUAUUUAUUUGAAGUACUGUUUAUGGGUGGGAGUGUGUGUAGUAUCUUUGCGUCAAUUUUCUUUUAAAAUAUUUUGGAAAGCUUGGCUCCAAAAACAUCUUAUGACACACAAGGGAUAGAGUACUUUUUUCAUAUAUAUAUAUAUUUUUUUAAUAAUAAGUAUUAUCACUCUUCCUUGCUCCCUGGGGAAAGUCAGCACAAACACAGUUUGACUAUGUCUAAUAAAGGAAGGUUUCCAACUCCUUUAUAACUGUUGGUAAACUGAUCGGACAGAAAUGGUCAAUAUGUCUUUUCUGAUAUGGCAGAUCCAACAGCAAUUGCUCAGAUGAACCAAAUCCCCUAUUCCACUGAUAGCCUAUGCGGGUGAUGACCCAUUUGGGCACUCUGGAUUCUUCUCAUCUAUACUAUUACAGCCAGGUAGCUGAGUGAGCAUCUUUCAAAAUAUAGUUUAUUAAAGAUCAACCAUCACUUGGAUUGUGCUCAAUCCGUAAAAUAUAUUCAAAUGAUUACUAAAAUGUAAUUCGUAAAGAUCAUUUAAUGAAAUUGACUCUACAUCACCCAUAAUGUCUUUACUUUUGUUUGCAGAAAAGUGACAACAAUGCAAAGUUUUAAGUAGCUCCAUGUGUACAAUUAGGUGAAACUUCAUUCAAGCGUCAAGCACACAUCAAUACGGGUAUUAUUUUUUUAAAUGGUAAAAACUACCAUUAAGCUACAUAUUUUUCGAUUUCACGUGUAAAACUUUUGUUACUGAGAGAACAUUUGAUUGAAGCAUUUAACCUCCUUAUACUUUACUUCUGUUUCCCAAACAAUGGCUACAUAAUUACAUCUCAAACAAAGAUCAGAGCAGAAAGAAUAAUUUACCUGUACUUGUAGGGGGUUGUGUAUAGUUUCAUGAGGUAAAGACACUGGUUACUGUAUGUUAAGAUAAUUAGUUUGCCAUGGAAACAGACUUCAAUAUGAACAGUGUUAUGAACAGUGACUAGUUUGACACCCUGUCCCAGACAACUCUGUAUUCUGUUGCAUUCUCUUUACUGUAAAAUAACUUCUCAUUAGAGAAGCAGGCUGACUCAGUGGAGUAAUAUAUAAAACCACAGACCCAAUCCUAAAAUAUGUCCAAAUAAAAUAUAAUUUAAAAAAAUAUUCCACGAACAUGGAUAUUAAAGUAUACUUAUGAACCAUGGACUUGGUGGCCAAUGCACAUAGAUUGAAAGUUAUUCCUAUGUUAGUUUUAAUUUCUCCAUCCAAAUAAAUGGCAUCCAGUGAAGCCACUUGUAGAACCCCUCCUCUAAUUAUUGCCAUAAGUACAUGGAUAGUCUUGUUAUGCACCAUUCCAAAAGAGAUCUCAAUUAAUGUUAAUGUCAGGCCAAACAUGUCUUAUGUUAAGAAUGCUCUUCUGUGACUCUGUCAACAAUUAUCAAAUGCAGAAUAGCCAAUGGGAGCUCUGUCAGGUCAAGGUCAGCGGGCACUUGAUAGGUGACUUGAAAAUAUUCAGUUGUCACUAUGCUAUUGCUAGUCUUUGCAAUCUGAAGAGCCUAAUUAGCCAAUAUACAAUAGCUUCAAUUAUUAUAGUUGUUCCAUUUUAUGCUUAAAAAGUCAGUUUUUAGUUGAUUGUAAUGCAGCAGACUUCAAAAGCAGAUAUGUGCUGUAUGCUGAACAUGACUGUGCAUCAAUAUCAGAUGGGCAGUAUUGCUGAGGAAAGCAGGAGCUUUCACACACCUUACUUCCCAUCACAGCCAGGGCCUUCUCAAGAGCAUUGAACAUACAUAAACUAAAAUAAUAUCUCAUGGAUUACAUUAAAAUGUAAAAUUAGGAGAUACUCAUUGGGAGAUAUUUAUCAUAGUGUUGAAUUUAAAAAUGGUGCAAUGUGCCUUCUGGUUCCAAUGGUUUCAGAACAUGACACUUUCAUAACCCCAAGUUUCUUAAAUUAAAUGUAUUUACUAUAAGCUAAACAAAUGUGUUCUCCUUAAUUUGCAUCAUAUAAGGCAUGAAUAACAUUUUGAAGUAAUGAUCAGUUAUUUUUUAAUAAAAUAGGCCCUUCAGCUGUAAAGGCUGCCAGCAAGCAUAGCAUGAAUAAAUAAUAAUAAAAUUAGUAGUGAAAUCACAAACCCUCUUGAUAAAUAGGAGGGAGAUCGGCACCUCACUCUCCCUUCAUUACAUGGGCAAGACGCAAGUGUAAAUAAGUUUAGGGUCUCAAUUAUCUGUAGUGAAAGGAAGAUCCUGGCCCUCUAACCAUGCACAAUGGUAGAGGAAGGAGCCAAUCCUCAAGCCCAUAGCCAGGGACAGUGGUAGGUGAUGGGACCAUGACCCUCUGGCUUACUUUAUAGUGUAGCCCUAAGGAAAAGUCUAGGGAAUUGACUUUCCUGCCUACAGUUUCUACACAACAUGAGAAAACAUGACUAAACAUGAUAUCCCCUCACUAUCCUCAUCGUGAAAAUGUAAGGGAAAUAGUGAAAUAUCAAUAAGUCGGUUAAGUAGAAGAGGGUUUGGAGAGACACAUGAGUGGCAGGGUGCAGGAUGGAGAGCAACACGAGGGCACACAAUUGGCUGGUUAGAAGAAGGAGGAAACGUGGAUGGGAUGGGGCAGAGAGGAACGAGUGAAAACAAUGUUGUACCAGUGGGAAGAAGGCCAAUCCCUAUAUUGUGUCAAAUGUCUCUGUUCGUCUUUUCAAUCCGAAUAUUUCCCUUUUCCAGGAACUCCAAAAUUUUCAAAUGCAGGACUAUAACAGAGUUUCACAGAAAAAAAAUGCACCCAUCAUACAACACUACCCCUUUGCAUUGCAUGCCCCAAGGGACAAUACCUAGUAAUGUUUUGAAUUGUAAUGUUGCCAAGACUUCUUCCCAGUUGAUGUUAUUUACCUCUACAUGUCCUCCUCAAUCCUGAGCCAUGCAUUAAUCAAUAUGUCAAUCUUACAAAAAAAAAAUUCUCCCUUAUUGUCUCUUGUCGACCUUUUUUUUGUCUUGUAUUAAAACCUUUAUAAACAAAAAUAGAUAUAUAAUACAUGCAAUUUUAUAUUAGUUAUAAAAUAUGCUGGCCAAUAUGUUCCAAAACAUUAACACAAAAAAUAUAAUGCAAAAAUGUAAUGCAAUUUGUAAAUUUCUUUCACCUACAGUUCAUUUAGUUUAAUUGAAAUCUGAACUAAUCGAACACAUGAAAAACUAACAUUUGUGCAGUGCAAAGUGUUCAACAAACAAAAAAGUGGUAAAUGCUACCACCUCUGGCCAAAAUAGAAAUAUUUACAAAGAUAGAAAGUCCUGAUCUGCUACAAACAUGGUGUUACCCUCUAUAACAAGCACAAACUAACAGUUUUCAAAAGAUAUAUUUUAUUUUUUACUAUUUUAUGCUUGAAGCCUGACUUCACUUUCAAAUUGCGUUCUUAAAACUAAAGUAAAAAAGUUAAAAUAAAAACACCUCAUUGUGUUAAACAAAACCUUUUAUAUUAAUAAUAGGCAAACUAACUUAGAAGCCUUUUGAAUGGAUUUUUACAUGGGACCUGAGAAGGGAGAGCUGAAAUAAGCAGUACUUACACAUACAAGAUUCUGAUGAAAUGUAUGUCAACAGGGAGGUUUAUUCUACUGGGGCAAAGUAUAGAGACAUAAUAAAUAUUUAGCUGAUAUUUGCCAAUUCAAUAAAACAUGGAAAUAUGAGAGCCCAGUAAAGAAAUAUUUGACUCAAAAUAUUAACUAAUUGAGAGGAAAAGGAAUGGAAAGAAAAUUAAUCUUUGAAUAGAGGUCCAAGAAGACUUUUAACAAAUAUACAAGUGCACCGGGCAAGGCAUUAACUUUUUAUAUAGACUAAAUUCUGGCUCUGUGAUAGCUGCUAUUAACAAACAAGGGGGAGAGCUAGCAUAUGUUAGUAAAUAAAUGACUCUGGGAAAAGGCUUUUGUCAUUUAACCCCUUAAGGACGGAGCCAAAUGUACACGUUGUGAACAAAACAAAAUGUAAACAAAACCUGGCAUUUGCGCUACAUGUCUGUCCAACCGUAAUACACCUCUUUCAUAUUAAAUACACCCACCCUUAUUAUAUAUCAUUUUAUUCAGGGGAAACAGGGCUUUCAUUUAAUAUCAAAUAUUUAGCUAUGAAACAUAAUUUAAUAUGAAAAAAAUGGGAGAAAAUAAGAUUUUGUUUGAUUUUUUUAGUUCUACAUGACAUUUUAAUGGUCAAUGUCAUUAUACUGUUUGCUUUUACUGCAAUAAAAUACACAUAUUUGUAUUCAGUGAAGUCUCACGUGUAAGACAGUACCCCCUAUGUACAGGUUUUAUGGCGUUUUGGGAAGUUACAGGGUCAAAUAUAGCACCUUACAUUUGAAAUUGAAAUUCGCCAGAUUGGUUACGUUGCCUUUGAGACUGUAUAGUAGCCCAGGAAUGAAAUUUACACCCAUAAUGGCAUAUCAUUUGCAAUAGUAGACAUCCCAAGGUAUUGCAAAUUGGGUAUGUCCAGUCUUUUUUAGUAGCCACUUAGUCACAAACCCUGGCCAAAAUUUGCGUUCAUAUUAGUUUUCCCAUUUAAAAAAAAACAAAACAAAAUGCCCUUUCACUGAUGAUAUCAAUGUCAUUAUAAGUUUUACUGCUCUAAACCACUCAUAUUUGUGUUCAACGAUGUGUCAGGAGUAAAACAGUACCCUCCUGUGAAGGUUUUAUGGGCUUUUGGAAAGUUACAGGGUCAAAUUUCUGUUUCCAGAUUGGUUAGGUGGCCUAUGCUGCUUUUGAGACUAUAUGGCAGCUCACAGAGGAGAAUUACCCCAUCAUGGCAUACCAUUCAUAAAAGUAGACAAACCAGGGUAUUUAGAAUGGAGUAAGUCUGGUCUUUUGUAGUAUCCCUUUAGUCACAAACCCUGGCCAAAGUUAGCGUUCAUAAUUGUGUUUUAUUUUAUUUUUCACACAAAAACUGCACUUUUACUGAUGAUAUCAUCAUCAUUACAAAUUGUAGUGUUCUAAACACACACAUUUGUGUUCAUAGAAGUCUGAUGAGUACAACAGUACCCCAUAUGUACAGGUUUUGUGGGGUUUUGGAACGUUUUCAGGGACAAAUAUAGGGCUUUCCCAAUUCUGUUUGUCUGAUUGGUUUACUGGGCUUAUGCUGCCUUUGAGACCAUAUGGCAGCCCAGGAAUGAGAAUUACCCCUAUAAUGGCAUUCUAUUUAUCAAAGUAUACAACCCACGGUAUUCAGAAUUGGGUAAGUUUGGUCUUUUGUAGUAGCCAUUUAGUAACAAAUCGUAGCCAAAGUUAGAUUUCCUUUUUUUUUGUUGCAUUUUUCACACAAAAGCUGCUCUGUUACUGAUGAUAUCAUCAUCAUUACAAGUUUUAGUGUUCUAAAGCACACAUAUUUGUGUUUAACGAAGUCUCACGUGUGUAUGUAUGGUACAAGUUUUAUGGUGUUUUGGAAAGUUACAGGGUUAAAUAUAGGGCUUGAUUUUCUGCCUGGGUUGUCAGGCAGGUCCAUUGAGUUAUAAUUAAUAAAAUAAAUUAAUUAUGUAAAAAUAGUAGAUAAAUAAAUAAACACGCCACUACUCCAUACUAAUUCUUCUUGAUCUCUCUGCUGCCUUUGACACUGUUGAUCAUGCUCUCCUUCUUCAAACUCUUCAAUCACUCGGUCUCCGUGACUCUGUCCUCUCGUGGUUUUCCUCUAAUCUCUCCCAAUGCUCAUUCAGUGUCUCAUUUUCUAAUGAUACCUCCUCCCUGUUACGCUACUUGGGUGAUUUGGAUUGGAACUCAACUGCAGCUUGUAAAACUCCCUAAUUACAAUUGUGAAGAAAUGGAGAAUCUUUAAAGUAUCAAUACUGUAGCUUUAAGAAAAGAGAGAAUCACUGGUAACUUGAAUCAACCAAAGUUUUAAUAAGUGUUAAACUUAAAUGAAUUGCAUUUAGGCAAUAAUCCAAUAAGAAGAAGUGCAAGUAAUCAACAACACAAAGUUCAUUAUUAAGUAUUUCCUCAGAGAUGCAUUAAGUAACAUUCUUUAAGAUCAUGAGAAUAAUCUUCAAUAGAACAAUAAGCAAGUAGCUGAGAAUAUUUGCAAAGCAGGAACAGUUCAUAGUUAAUAAGCAUGAUGGGAGUUGUCCUCCAUAUAAUUAGUAGCUUGAAACAUUGAGUGUCUUUGCAAAGCAAGAAACAGUUCAUAGUGAAUAAGCAUGAUGGGAGUUGUCCUCCAUAUAAUUAAUAGCUUGAAGCAGUGAAGAUUUGAGUAAGCAAGCUUUAGUUCAUUAUUAAAUGAUAUUGUAGACAAAUAGAUGAAAGAUAUACUCAAGGUUAAUAUGUGUAGUCCCCCAAUAGUUCAGAGAUAUGGUCCACUUGUAAAGUAGCAAAGUAUCUGUUCUCAAGUAAUCCUUUAUGGCAUGCAGCAAUCCUUGCAUUGGCUCAAAGGCUGGAACGGCUUGUCUGACCUUGUGGAGAGGUAAGUCUGGUGGAAGUUGUUCCCAGUAGCUGAGCCUGUGGAGCCCAAGGAGGCAGCUCACACAUUAGCUCCCACACAAUCACCAAGCACCCUCUCUCUGGCCCAGUCUCCCUAAAUACCAUCAGAGCUGUGUCAGAGGGGGGCGGGGUCCGGCUCCUCACAGCUGAGUGCUGAACCCGGAAGUGUUACUCCAUGACACUCCCCUUGUCCUCAGUCCUCAAUCCUCAGUUGGCAUCCCACAUAGCUCUGUUCUUGGUCCACUUCUAUUUUCUCUUUUAACAGCCUCUCUUGGCAAACUUAUUACCUCAUUUGGAUUCCACUACCACCUGUACACUGAUGACACCUAGAUAUAUCUCUCCUCCCCGGACCUCUCCCUUGCCGUCCUGCAAUGUGCCACUGCUUGCCUGUCUUCCAUCUCUGAUUGGAUGUCCUCCCGCUUUCUGAAACUAAAUCUCUCUAAAACUGAGCUCCUUCUCUGUCCUCCUCUUAAUACUGAUCCUCCUCCCCCUGCAUUAAGUUAGUGGUAUCCACAUAAGUCCAUCCUUGCAAGUGCGCUGUCUUUCUUACGCAAGAUGCUACCAAGGAGCUUGUCCAUGCUCUAGUAAUUUCCUGCAUGGAUUAUUGUAACCCUCUCCUAGUUGGUCUUCCUAAAAGCCGUAUUGCCCCGGUACAGUCUGUAAUGAAUGCUGCCGCCAGACUGAUUUUCCUCUCUAGUCGGUCCUCUCACAUCUCACCCCUCAGUCAGUCCUUACAUUGGCUUCCUGUAUGCUGUAGGAGUCAAUUCAAAGUGCUUACACAUACCUAUAAAGCACUGAACAAUUAUAACCCUUCUUAUAUCUCUUCACAGAUCCAUAGGUAUGCCCUUUCUCGGUCUCUCCGAUGUGCCCGUGACUUUCUCCUGACCGCUGCUCGCAUUCGUAUGGCCAACUCACGGUUGCAGGAUUUCUUGCGGGCGGCUCCCUUCCUAUGGAAUAGCCUGAACUGAAGCACUGAACAGUUCUAGCCCUUCUUAUAUCUCUUCACAGAUCCAUAGGUAUGCCCAUUCUCGGUCUCUCCGCUCUGCCUGUGACCUUCUCCUGUCCGCUGCUCACAUUCGUACGGCCAACUCACACUUGCAGGACUUCUUGUGGGCGUCUAUUUUCCUAUGGAAUAGCCUGCUCACCGCCAUCAGACUCUCCCUUGGUCUUCAAUCAUUUAAGAAGUGCCAUAAAACCCAUCUCUUUAGGAAAGCUUAUGGCCUCCCAGAGUAACCUCUACCUCACAUACCUGUCUCUUGCUCUCUCCUAAAGGGAAGCACAUUACUCUCUCCACCAUCUCUGCUUCACUCCCAUCUUAUUUGAUUGCUAUUUCCUGUCUUCAUGUGCUUCAUACCCCACCUCCUAUAGACUGUAAGCUCGUUUGAGCAAGGUCCUCAUCAACCUAUCGUUCCUGUAAAUUUUCUUGUAAUUAUCCUGUUUAUAGUUAAUUCUCCCCUCUCAUAAUAUUGUAAAGCACUAUGGAAUCUGUUGGCGCUAUAUAAAUGGUAAUAAUAAUUAAUAAUAAUAAUAACAACUUAAUUCUAAGUGUAUUUUGGUAUUAAUAUAUAGAUUAAUACCAAAAUACACUUAUUGUUAAAUUAUAUAUGUAUAACAUAUGUGUAGAUUGGAUUAGCCGUAUUAGUCCAGUAGACAAGAUGCCAAAAUACCAAAGUAUUGCAGUAUGCAAUGUGUAGCAGGCCCUGGGGUACCUGACUGGCUACACCCACUAUAAAUUAACUAAGAGACCCAUCUUCCCCAGUAACUGGACGACACACAGUUCCAGGGUUACAACAACAACUUUAUUGGCCACACUCAGCUUUAUACUUUCACUAUGCAAGGGGUGGAUCACUCAUACAGAAAGAGGACGGAUGACGGAACUGGACCCUAAUCCCAUUGUCCCUUGUUCCUGCCACUCAGUAUCCCUUCCCAGAGUCCUCCCCCUCCCAGGGGCCUGUGCAUGUGACAGGAACCCCAGUUCCUUUGUUCUCAGUUCCCGCUACCCAAAUUCAGGGUUUCCCACUUCCCGUGGAACUCCCAAGCACAGAAAGCCAGCCAAACCGCCACUGUACCCAAAGAGUGUCCCCAGCAAUCUCAGGGACACCCAGAACGACAGCCGCCACAAACUGCCUCCAUUCGUGGUGUCCCUGGGUGGAACCAAGCCGGGAAGCAUCUCCUUUCGGGUCAAGAAUGCUCCCCCUGGCCGCCAUUCAUCUAUAAGAACGGCCGCCGCCCAGGGAAGCACUCUUCACACUUCUGUUGCAAGUUGCCAACGUUUUAAUUGAUUUAUGUGAACAUUCCAAGGGGCACUGGGUAGGUCCUCGUUCUGUUCCCGAAUUAACAAAUGCUCCCCCUAGCAGCUUGUGGUGUGCGGUUUUGUGAACGUUCUAAGACAACAUUCUAAAUGAGGUUUACACACACAUCUUUAUGUUUUAUAUAGUUCUUUUGCAAUAUUCUCAUUUCACCUUUAUUGGAUCAAUUUAUAUACAUACAUAUUUGCAACUAUAUACUUGCAUGCCCUGCUCUGCUCUGCUGUUUUCUUGUUUUGUUGUGCUUUCAUUAUUUAACUAGCUUAUUGACUCUGCUUUGUUAAUUUACUUUUCCUGGCUAUUCUCAGCCAACCUGAACCUUUCACUUUUAGGCACAUCUUCUGCUAUCUAUGACACCUUACUCGCACCCCUCCCUCCCCUUCUGUAGCAUUAGUUGUUUUAAGUGUUGCUUCAAACCUGAGGAAGAGAGGAAAACUCUCGAAAGCUUUUCUUUGAAAUAUUAUGUUAGUCCAAUAAAAAAAUGUAUCAUUGCAUAGUGCAAUAUUCUGGUAUUUUGGAAUAUUAUAUAUGAAUUACAUAUGUAUCAGAUUAUUUAAUUAAUUUACAAUAUAUUUUACAUGUAUAAUAUACUGUGUUAGUGUGUGAUUUUAGCUUUUCUUUAUUUUUCAGGCACUAGGGGGACUGCCUAAACACCCAGGCAGUCUCCCUGCAGGCAGUCUCAUAGACUGCUUUGCGGCCUUGUGAUGGCGACGUCCAUCGCCAUUACAUGGCCCUGGAGGGCUGAAAUGGAAGUAGGGGGACUGCCUGUCUUGAGUGGCAGUUCGCCCCCGGACUGGGAUUGCCAUGGAUCGCCGGUCCAGGUAAAUCUGCAGGACAGGGGAGUUCACGAUCUUUAGGGCAUAGUAUGCCACCCUAACAGCAUUUAGGCUAUCUAAAUUCAGGGGGUCAUAGUACGCCGCAUUGGCGUUAAGUGGUUAAUAAUAGGAAAAUCUUGUAAUGUACAUCCACUUAAAUAGGACUCUCCAUUGCCCAAAUACAAAAGAAAAUGAAAAUCACUAUCUAGUCAAUGAAAGCAUGCAUGCAUAUAUUUUUGCCUUUUAUAAUUAGGUGUAUAUCUAAAACAGCUUGCAAAAGAUGCAGAUCUCUGGGCUGAAGUGUUUGCAAACCCUCCUUUUCUAACCUGGCUGUCUAUUUACUGACUUCCCAAUGCAGCUCAAUGUCUUUGCAAGUCUUUGCAAGACAGGUGCUUUAAACAAUUGCUGCCUCUUGAGUUUAUCUUCACUGAGCUAAACAAACCAGGAAGUAACAGAGCCUGUUUUCUGAUUGACAGCCGGAGAGGUGUAACCAGGUUAAUUUAUAAAUGUACCAAUUUAUAUUGGAAUUUUUGUUUAAGCUAAAGUGCUUUAGGUGUUUGGAGAGUCCCUUUAACCCCUUAACGCGGUUACGGCGUUCUAUGCCGUCCCCAUUUAAAUGGGCUUUAAAGCCGUUGCGGCGGCACAGAACGCUGUAUCGGCUUUCUGCUCCAGGAGCUCGGUGGCACUUACCUCCACCGCUAUCCUCUUCGGGAGGACUGUCUGACAGUCCAGGCAGCCCUCCCCCCGCAAAUCUGGCCCCCUAUAACUGGCUGUGGAUCUGUCAGCAGGGGGACUGUCUGAAAUGUCAGACAGUCCCCCUGCUGGUGGGAAGUAUAAAAAAAAUUUAAUUAGACAUGUUUAAAAUAAAUUACAAGUAUAUAUAUAUAUAUAUAUAUAUAUAUAUAUAAUACUUAGAAUGAUGUUACAUAUAUAUAAGAUAUGUAUAUAUAUAUAUAUAUAUAUUAUAUAUAUAUAAUACAUCUAUAUAUAUUUUAUAUUGAUAUAUACACGUAUAAUUACAAUUUUAAAUAAAUAUAAUAAUAAAUUUAAAUAAAUAAAAUAUUUUUUAAAAAUUAAAAUAAAUUAUAUAUACAUAUGUAAUUUCAUUCUAACUGUAUUUUGUAAUAUAUAUAUAUAUAUAUAUAUAUAUAUAUAUAUAUAUAUAUGGAUAACAAAAUACACUUAGAAUGACAUUCUAUAUCUAUCUAUAUAUAAAAUACAAAUAACCGCAAAUAUAUAUAUAUAUAUAUAUAUAUAUAUAUAUAUAUAUAUACAGAUAAAUAUAUAUAAUUACAUAUAUAACUACAAAAGUGUACACGUAGACUUUAAAUACAUAUAUAUGUAUAUAUAUUAAAAUUCUACGUGUAUAUUUAAGUACUAUUUUAACAUAAUUAUGUGGUUUAAUUAAUUAAAUUUUGAUUGACAUGCCUGACAACCCAGGCAGAAAGUGCAGAGAAUUUGAAUUUAAUAUAAAACCUGUACAUGGGGGGUACUGUUUUACUCUGGAGACUUCGUUGAACACAAAUAUUAGUGUUUCAAAAUGGUAACUUGUAUUACAACAAUUAUAUUUUUAGUAAAAGGUGAUGUUAUUUGCAUUUUUCACACACAAACGGCACUUUUACUGACGAUAUUAUUGUUGUAAUAUGUUUUACUGUUUUAAAACACUUAUUUUUGUGUUCAGUAAAGUCUCCCAAGUAUAACAUUACCUCCCAUGUACAGUUUUUAUGGUGUUUUGGAAAGUUAGAGAAUCAAAUAUAAGGCUUGCAUUUCAUUUUUUUCACAUUGAAAUUUGCCAGAUUAGUUAUUGUAACGGAUCGCCUGGCACCCCGACUGGGUACCUCUGUUGAAGGAUGCUCCUAGCACUUCCUGAGGACUCUAAGCACUGCAGCAGACACCACAACCACCGAACCGGAGAAGCAUAUGAAUCCUCUCAAGCAUAUGAAUGCUGUAGACAGUUGAAUAGGAACCAUACGAAUAGGUUUACUCUCCUAGCAGUCAAACUGGAACAGCAUACAAUAAAUCCUUCCCCCAAUAAUGAGACGACACUUCAUUUUGAGGGUUAAGCAGGAACUCCCUGUACUGUCACAUACAGUCUCUUUUAUUCCCAAUCCACAAACAUAGUACAGCCCACAGGGCGUUACAAAACAACCAAUCAGUCUGUAUAAUACACCCAGACACUCCCACACAAAAUCCUCCCCUCUGCAUGUGAUAUGAUUACUGAACACAAUGGGUAAUCUCAUUAUCACCGGCAGAGGAAUACAGUUUUUACACAAUAUUUAUAACUUCUAAAAUAUACAUGUCACAAACAUAAAACAUACAUUUUCAUAAUCAAUCCAUUCAGGGGAACAACAUAUUAAAAAAUGGCACGAAUCAGACCAGGGGUUCAAAAGUUAAGGGAAAGUCCUUUGUGACUAAAUGAAGCAUGGCUUUCCGGCCCAAACCAGUUUCAGAGUCUUCUGUCCUGGAGAUAAGUAAUUCAAUUAUCUCCCAGGACAGACACAAGACUCCAUUAAGCACAUGGUUGCAAAAAGACACAAAACACUUUAAAAUACAUAAAGUCACCUUUUACACAUAAGACACAGACAUUUCACAUAUCCCCAGAUAGCUGGGAUCUGAGCGCACAAAACUACCGAAUAGCGCUCAGAUCCUAUUCACACAGUUCAAUUGCCAUGGAGCCGAAGUCUUUAACUACACGAAUGGGCUCCAUGGCAUAGCUAUCUGGGUUAACACAUUCACAUAAAGUCUGGUCCAUAGUCCAAAGGCAAGAGGCGGGCAAGCAGCCCCCUCCAAGGACACGUGGCGAGGCCGGUUUCGCCACAGUUAUGUUGCCUUUUGAGACCGUAUGGUAGCCCAGGAAAAAGAAUUACCCCCAUGAUGGUGUACCAUUUGCAAAAGUAGACAACCCAAGGUAUUGCAAAUGGGGUUUGUCCAGUCAUUUUUAGUAGCCACUUAGUCACAAAUACUGGCCAAAUAUUUGUGUUUUCCUUUUUUCACACAAAAACAAAUAUGAAUGCUAACUUUGGCCAGUGUUUGUGACUACUACAAAAGACUGGACAUACCCCACUUGCAAUACCUUGGGUAGUCUACUUUUGCAAAUGGUAUGCCAUCAUGGGAGUAAAUCUCAUUCCUGGGCUACCACACGGUCUCAAAGGUAACAUUACUAAUCUGGCAAAUUUCAAUAAAACACAGUUAUUUCUAAAACACAGUAAAAACUGUUAAUGGGGGCUACUGUUGUACUUAUGAGACUUUGCUGAAUCCAAAUAUGUGCUUGUUUGCAGUAAAAGCUAACAGUAUUGUGACAUUUUCAGCUAAAAUGUGAGGCGGAACUACAAAAUUAAAAAAAAAUGUUUACAUUUCUCACAGUUUUUUGUAGUUUAUUCAUAAUAAAUUAUGUUUCAUAUAUAAAUAUUUGAUAUGAAAUGAAAGCCCUGUUUCUCCUGAACAAACUGAUAUAUAAUAACUGCACUUAAUAUGAAAGAGGUGAAUUACGGUUGAACAGACAUAUAGUGCAAAUUCUAGUUUUUGUUUACAUUUUGUUUUGAUCAGAACGUGUACUAUUGACUCCGUCCUGACGGGGUUAAAUCAGUUUAGCUAAGGUUUGGCUUGCAAGUCUGCUUCAAAGUAUUUUAUAUUUUCAAACUUUUGUAUCAGGUACUGGAUGAAUAGAGAGAGACAGAGUGAGUUUAUAAUGUAGGUGGAGCCAAAUCUUGUAGUAGUUUGUUUUGGAUGCAGUAUGCUCUGCCUACUGUAGACAUUCAGGAUCAUAAACAUGAAAGAUCCCAAUCUCUUAAUACCACUGCAUAAAUACAGGCAAGUUAAUCCGUUUCAGCAGUGUAUGGCAUAUGCACAGUGUUCCUGUUGAUUGAAAUGGUUGAGAAAUACCAGCAUUCUCCUGGUACCUGCUGAAUCAGCAAUUCACAGAAUUUUUUGUGAAUUGUUUCCACAAUGCACUAUAAAAUAGGGUGGAAGUGUUGCUUUAUGUGUUGAGGUGCAGUUUUGAAAUGAAAUUAUGAUAAAUCUGCUAACCUUAAUGUUGAUCUUAGCAGAUAAUCAACAUUCAUACAUGUGAUAUACAUAUCUUCGGACUUUCAUUACUUUCAUUAGUCCCUGGCCUUAUCUUAUAGUUAAUUCUAACUCUAAUGGGCCAAGCAGCGUACUGCAAAAUAUGUACAUAAUAUAAUUAAAUAACAUAUAUUUUACACUACACUGAUUGACUCGAGUGAGAAAGAAAAAGGGGGCAGGCAAGUUUCGACCAACAGAGGUUUGACUUUUCCAAAUUUCUUUAACAAAAAAAGAUUUGGGAAACAUAAAACAAACUAAACGGGCAAGAAAAUAGGCCAAUUGCUGUACUGAAAAUGAUAUAGAUAGUAUAAAUAUUCUGUAUAUAUUUUGCAGUACACUGAUUGGUGCAUUUUCCAACCAUUUAGCUCUUAGAUCAAGUUAGAAAAUAUAUCCAAUAGAGGGAAAAGAGGAAGAGGGAAAAGAGGAAGAGGCCUUAUAAUAAGCUAUGUUUAGAUAUUUUUAUAUCUCAUAUUUAUUAAAUAUAUAUUCUAUAAAUUUAGAUUUUUUUUUGUAAUGUUCUUCCCUUUUUUCCUCUGUUGGUCAUUUCUCACUUAAUCUGUGAAUAAAAUCAACUUUUGGUGGUUGUUCUAUAGACAUCUAUUAUCUUUGACCCCAUCAGUCAUCUCUUUACUUGGUGCCAUAAGUGGAACUCCGAAUCCUGAAGCAAACUAACAUGCUUGUCCAACAAGGUAACUAUGUGCUCAGUUAUAUGUCCAUAUGGCGUACAGAAUCAAGUCGAACAGCCUAUCCAUUUAAAUUCAGAUGAAUUGCAAAUCAGCAGAAACCAAAUUCAUAAGUCUAUCAGUUAUAUCAUAUGUCUAUCAUGCUGACGCCAAUAACAUGUGAAGCCUGCAUGAGCAGGUUGAUCCUUUUCUACCAUUCAGUUGCGGUUGCUCUAAAGAUGUUGAUGUUAAGACAUUUAUGGUAUCUGUAGGUGGCAAACGCUAGUAGUGGUAAUUGUAAAGCCAUCGAUAUUAUUUGGUUGCAAAUAUCUCCAAUAGGCGGAUAUCUAAUGCCAUCAUUGAAAAUGAUUGUUAUGUUAUAUUUUACAAUAUUAGGUACACAAAAAUUGACAGCCAAUAAGCCAUAAAUUACCAUUAUGUGUUUAUAUCACAAAGAUGUAUUUGUAAUAUAAAGAUAUAUGGAAAAAAAAGUUUCUGCUGUGCAGUUCAUCCUAGAUUAUUCCAAGACAUUUAACUACACAUAUGAAUUUGACUAUAAUAAUAAUAAAACAUGUAUACAUUCACUAAUUAACAAAUAAAUGAAUAUUCUACAACAUGAUGUGCCAGAGUAAUUUGUUCUGUAUAAUAAGGUACGGAAUCUACUGGACAAAUAUUAAAAAUAAUGAAAAUAAGAACUAAUCUUAAAGUCUAUAUUUGUUGGUGCUGACUAAUUCACUACUUUUCUCUUCCAAGCAGUGAUCUUGGGCAAGCAAUUCAAUAUUUGUGACCGGUGUAAAGAUAUAAUGUUCCUUCCCUUGUUCUGUAAUCAAGGAUCGAUAAAAUAUCCAGUAACUCAGCACAGUACUGCAAUACACAUGAUCACAUCUCAAUCACAAAACAAGUAACAUUUUGGUCAAUAGACAUUAUUGCACUUUUUGUCCAAUUAAUGACAAAUAGUACACUUCAAUGCACACCAUGUGACAGGUAACAAUGUCUGUUACCAUAACAACCACUAGAACUAAAAACAAUUAAAAUCAACAACCACAUGUUAAAAGCGACUUGAGGGAAAAGGUUGUCACAUUUGCAAUUACAUUUUUGUAUCCAAUUCCUUUUAUAUAUAAUUAUUCUUCUAUAUAUCAUGCUACCAUAGAUAGAUAGAUACCGUAUAUAGACAGAUAUGUAGAUAGAUACAUGACAGAUAGAUAAACCGAUAGAUAGACAGACAGACAGAUAGAUAGAUACAGGGCUCAAGUCCUGCAGGAACGCGUGGGAACUGUGUUCCUGCACUUUUUUUACAGCAGGAACGCCGUUCCCGUUGCUACUGCAGGCACUAAGGGGGCAGCAAAAAAUGCCGCCCCCAAAUGCCCCCUAUGUUCCCUCUGUCAUGGGGGGGCCCCAAGAGGUGGCCUGAUGGCCACCUAAUGGACCCCCCCCCCAGCGGGGGUCUGUCUCCCUGUCAAACACUGCUCCCUCGUGCGCCGUUUGCUGAUGACAUCAUAUUCCAUCUCCCAGCAUCAGUAGACAGCGCGCACGCGGAAAGGGAGCAGAGCUGGGAGAACACAGCUCCCUCGCCACGUCUGACAGGGAGACAGGCGCCCGCCGCACUGAAGCCCAACUGGACCCCAAGGAGAGGUCCACGCCAGCUCUCCAGGUAGGGAGGUUGGGUGGACAUUUUUAAAUUUAAAAAAAUAAUUUGUGUGUGUGUGUGUGUGUGUGUCUGUGAGUGAAUGACUGGAGUAGAGUAGGCACUUCUGAAAGGUGUGUGAUAGAAUAGAUUUAGCAGCUUUUUUCCUACUUGUAGGAAUUUUUUUGUUCUUGAAGUAGUUGAGUAACCCUCCAGAAGGACCGCCUGGAUGGUCUGCCUGGAUAGAUCUCUGAUAUGGAGGUAGAUCUCCUUGAUGUCCCCAUGAAGUAUCCACACAAAUUUAAUGAGGACAUCUCUGGGUGCCUCUUUUGGGGUUUUAAUGGACCUAGAAAGCAAAAGCAGCAAUGUGUCAGUUUAACCUGUUUAGGGGACAGUAUGGUGAAAAUGAGUCUGUGAACAUAAUGAGGAAGCUCUCAUUGGUAAUGGCCUCAGGGAUCCCACUUUCCCCCAAACCUGGCUUUCACUUUUGGACCUUGGAACCUGAUGCAUAAAAGUCUCUUUCUCAACGAAGCCUGGGAGUGCAGGGCUUAGUUCAUUGGCUGAGAGCCUAAUGCUCUUAGUCAAUAAGAUGGCCAUCCACUGCAGGGUUUAGCUCAGGAGAGCUACCGUUUUUAGAUUGUAAGCUAUUUAGGCACGGCCCUCUUCACCUACUAUUUCCAUAUUAAAAUUAGUUUUGUUAGAAGCAUUAGUCUUGCUUUACCUGAUAUACAGAGAUGUGGAAUAUGUUAGCAUGAGAUAAAUAAUGUUAAUGUCUGAAAAAUGUCUAGAAAAUGUCUACAAAGAGAGAAGGCAGGAAGGGGUCCCCCCCAAAACAGUUUUGACUACUUACAAUGAGAGAGCGCCAGGACACUCACUCCUAGUGCCAUAAACACUACAACAAGCUUUAGGGGUAUGGUACUUGAAGUGUAUUUUUAAAAUAUGAUUGAAAGAGAGAAUUGAUUUGAGCAUUGUGACAGGAGAAAGAUGAGAAGAGGCUAACCAACUUAUACCUUAUAUAAAAUUCUGAAUAAAUAUUGUCAUAUUUAGAUUGGCUAUGAUUAUUAUCUUGAAUCUAUACUAUGCUGCAUUAGUACACAAGAGUAUGUCUGAGUUCAUUUGAACAUGACUGAAGGUAAGUGGUUUUUGAAAAAUUUCGAAAUGCAUGCUUAAAGGAAUUCACACGCUCUUCCAACAUGAAACAGAAAGUGCCAGUUUUGAAGUUUUCCUAUCCGUACACUUCAGAGUCACUAAAAUUAUAUCUUUUUAAGUACUCAAAACUAUUAUAGAACAAAAAAAAUGAACUGCUUUAGAAUAAAAAAAAAAUGCAAAAAUUCUAAGCAGAAUAAAUAACAUAAAAGUAAGUGAUGGCGUAAUUUGAAUAGUGUAAAACUUCACUAAGGAUGGAAUGUUUGAUGGAAAUGAUAAAUUAAUGGAGUUAAUGUGUAUGCUUCAUAAUGCAAUGGUGUCAUGGAGACAUGAAAUACAUCAAAAUAUCUUUUUUUAUUUUAAACUUCUGAGUGGUUUGUUUGCUGUGUAUACAUACAUUGUGAGAGAUAAUGCUGCAUAUAAACCCUUAAGUAUUAUAACCGUUUCCAAACGAUUUCUCAUUUACAGUAAUUCUUGUAAUUUACACUUCUCAUGAGUCAUGAUUAAGAAAUAAUGUUUAAUAUUUAUAAGAUUGAGAAAAUUUGCCAACUUUCCUAUGAUGUAUUGAUGUAUUUUGUUAAAUAAUGUGUUUGCAUAUUUAUAAACACCUUGUUAGUGUGUUAAUUAAUAAACAUGUAAUGUGAUGACCUAAACUGGCAAUCCAAUUUAUUGUUUUAAAAAAAUAUAUAUACUGAUCAGCCACAACAAAAAAACCACCUUCUUAAUAUCAUGUAGGUCAUCCUGCCAAAACAGCUCUAAAGUGUCGAUGCAUGGACUCCACAAAACCUCUAAGCGUGACCUGUGGUAUCUGGUACAAAGACAUUAGCAGCAGAUCCUUUAAGUCCUGCAAGGUGUGAUGUGGGGAUCUCCAUGGAUUGGAUUUGUAGUUCCAGAACAUCCCACAGAUGAUCAAUUUGAUUGAGAACAAGAGAAUCUCGAUGCCAAGGCAACACCUUGAACUCUUUGUCAUGUUUCUCAAACCUUUCCUGAACAUUUUUUUCAGUGUGGCAGGGUACAUUAUCCUGCUGAAGCACGCCACUGAUUUUGUUAAAAAACUGAACCAAGUACUCUAAUCUGCAGGACCAAAAGGCCUAUAAAAGUCAGAAGUCAGAGGAAAUAGGAGAGAUUGUCACCAUGCAAUCAGUACUGACUAACACUAACAUGGCGGCGUUUGAAAAGUGUCACACAAAAGUGUAGCGUGGUUAAACUCAGAGAUAGAGGAACUAAACAGGAAAAUGACAAGUUGCAGAACAUGCUGUUAUUAGUGAGCAGUUUUCUACAUACCCACAGUAAUCAUAAUACAGACAGUAGAAUAUUAAAGCACUACAUACAAAUAAAAAAAUGUCACUAGUUCUAGUUUCGAAUGUCAGGUAGUAAGACCAGCCUUGUGGUGCACACCUGCAACUGGAGAUAACUUAUAAACGAUAAUACAUGAUUAAUCCUUUCUGCUUACCCCUCAAGGAAGGAAACUGACAUCUUUAUGUUGAGGGUCAAUUGCUUUUCUGGACACAUACAGGAAUUUUUACUUAUGCUGGUGGCACAGAGAUAUAAGCAGAAUUAUUUAACAGAAAAUGAAUCUACAUGUACUAGCAAUUUACUUGUCACAAUAUAGAGAUCAAAUUUCAUUCUCAAUAAAAUUAGAUGGCCAUGUCAGUAUACUUUUCUUAAUUGGUUGUGUUGAAUUGUUUAUUAACCCCUUCAGGACUGCUGACGGUUCAGGACCGUCAGCGGUAAAACGUGCGUUUGGACCGCUGACGCUCCUGAACCGUCAUAGCGAAAAAAGGGCUUCAGGAAACGAUCAAAGAUCGCCCCCGCCAGUAUAACGCUGUAACUAUCUGCCAGACAUCCCAGGCAGAUAGUAACAGCCAAUUGCGAUCGCUCACAAUUGGCUGCUGUCAAAGUGGGUGUUACAAACAGUCACUUUGACAGUCAUCUCUGCCCCUCUCUCCUCUGUAGCGUUUUGUGAGGCGAGAGAGAAAGAGAUCAUGAUAGUUUGUUGCAGCAGAAGUGUUCCAGAGCUUUAUACAGUAUCCAAAGUGAAUAAAAAAAAAAUCAUUUUAACCCCUUCCUUGCCAGAUUUUUUACAGCAGUGCAUUUGUACUGUCUGUAUAUUUUUUUUUGCCCUUAAAGGGUUAAAUUUGUUUUAAAAAACUGUGUUUUGGUCUGUCUUGGUCUGUUUUGGUCUGUCUUGGUCUGUCUUAGUCAGUCAGUUUCCUUCCCCCAAAUCUCCAUUAGAUUUUUGUGACAGGAGCUAGUUUAGGG